GACGAACGCUGGCGGCGUGCCUAACACAUGCAAGUCGAACGGAAAGGCCCUGCUUUUGUGGGCUGCUCGACGGGCGACCGGGUGAGUAACACGUGAGUAACCUGCCCUUGCCUUUGGGAUAACCUAAGGAAAGUGGGGCUAAUACCGGAAAGGAGUUCCCGCUGCAGGGUGGGGGUGGGAAAGUUUCGGCGGUUGGGGAUGUACUGGCGUCUUAUCAGCUUGUUGGUGGGGUAGUGGCUUAGCAAGCCAUUGCCGGGUGGCCUGGCUGAGCGGGUGACCUGCCACAUUGGGACUGAGCUACGGCCCGGCCUCCUACGGGAGGCAGCAGUGGGGAAUAUUGUACUAUGGGCGGAAGCCUGAUGCAGCAACGCCGCGUGCGGGAUGACGUCAUUCGGGUUGUAAACCGCUUUCGCCUUUGACGAAGCGUGAGUGACGGUAAUGGGUAAAGAAGCACCGGCUAACUACGUG
Molecule: ribosomal RNA, 468 nt
Filed under: uncultured bacterium
Lineage: Bacteria
Description: partial 16S ribosomal RNA
Rfam family: Bacterial small subunit ribosomal RNA
Source: RNAcentral